RNAcentral lists this small RNA (469 nucleotides) under Pongo abelii (Sumatran orangutan). RNAcentral describes it as "retained intron". Lineage: Eukaryota; Metazoa; Chordata; Mammalia; Primates; Hominidae. The record is from RNAcentral.
AGUGGGGCGUGGCGCCCGCUUACCUUGAGGCCGGGUUGGAAAGAGACUAUUUUAGCAAGUGUCACGCCAUGGUAUGUGGUUGGUUGGUCUAUUUCAGUCUAAUCUAUUAUGCUUUCUGGUUAAAAAUGUCACCUUUCUCAUUAUCUGAUGGAUUUACGUUGCACUGCAUAACUUUCUUAAGUUCUGAUAACUCACCUUGGCUGGGCCAUGGGAAGGAGAGAAAUAUUGCCUCUGAAAUGCCUUUUUAGCUUUGGAUUUGCUUUUUGCUUUUUUUUUUUUUCCUUGAGAGUUUUGUUCUUGUUGCCCAGGCUGGAGUGCAGUGGCACGAUCUUGGCUUACUGCAACCUCUGCCUCCCAGGUUCAAGCAAUUCUCCUGCCUCAGCCUCCCUAGUAGCUGGGAUUACAGGUGUGCACCACCACGCCUGGCUAAUUUUGUAUUUUUAGUAGAGAUGGGGUUUCACCAUGUUGG